CAAUAUUUAAACCCCAGAUUCAUAAAAUAAAACAUGUUUUAAAAAAACUUAAAUAAUUAUAGGGCAGUAUAAUAAAGAUCUAAAUUUAAGCAUGAAUAUAAAAACAUGCAAAAACCAUAAUACUGCCCCAAAAAUAAUCUCUAUUGGCCGGGUGAAAUAGGGAUCUCAAAAUAUAAUUAACAGAGAACCCAUUGGAUCGGCCGAAAAAAUAAGAAAAUAUAAUAAAUAAACUAAGGAUUUAGAUCAAAGAAGAGUAAUGUACAAAUCCUUUCAAAGCUUCUGCAUAAUUGCAGAAGAAAAGAGAAAAGGAAUUGAGGAAUUUGGAUCUAUGCCCGCAACGGAACUCGGGAGCAAAUGUUUUGGCUGCUACACCCGGUUCUUUC
RNAcentral lists this long non-coding RNA (383 nucleotides) under Medicago truncatula (barrel medic). Its description in RNAcentral is "long non-coding RNA (MTRU_LNC008673)". The record is from RNAcentral. Lineage: Eukaryota; Viridiplantae; Streptophyta; Magnoliopsida; Fabales; Fabaceae.